This 710-nucleotide ribosomal RNA is filed under the name uncultured bacterium. RNAcentral describes it as "bacterial SSU rRNA". It matches the Rfam family "Bacterial small subunit ribosomal RNA", at positions 56 to 742 of the family's 1533-position model. The record is from RNAcentral.
UGCAGUCGAGCGAGAACGCCUGCUUCGGCAGGUUAGUAAAGCGGCGAACGGGUGAGUAACACGUGAGUCACCUACCCUCCAGUAGGGGAUAACACUUCGAAAGGGGUGCUAAUACCGUGUACGGUCCCGACCGUGUCUGCGGAUGGGACGAAAGGUGGCCUCUCUAUAGAAGCUGCCGCUGGAGGAUGGGCUCGCGGCCCAUUAGCUAGUUGGUAGGGUAACGGCCUACCAAGGCAAUUAUGGGUAGCUGGUCUGAGAGGACGAUCAGCCACACUGGAACUGAGACACGGUCCAGACUCCUACGGGAGGCAGCAGUGGGGAAUAUUGCACAAUGGGGGAAACCCUGAUGCAGCAACGCCGCGUGCGGGAUGAAGGCCUUCGGGUCGUAAACCGCUGUCAGGGGGGAAGAAAUCGCUCCGGUGAAUAGCCGGGGUGGAUGACGGUACCCCCAGAGGAAGCCCCGGCUAACUCCGUGCCAGCAGCCGCGGUAAGACGGAGGGGGCGAGCGUUGUUCGGAAUCAUUGGGCGUAAAGCGCGCGUAGGCGGUCGAGUAAGUCGGACGUGAAAGCCCAGGGCUCAACCCUGGAAGUGCGCUCGAUACUGCACGACUUGAGUACGGGAGAGGAGAGUGGAAUUCCCAGUGUAGCGGUGAAAUGCGUAGAUAUUGGGAGGAACACCAGUGGCGAAGGCGGCUCUCUGGACCGUUACUG